RNAcentral lists this long non-coding RNA (276 nucleotides) under Lathyrus oleraceus (garden pea). RNAcentral describes it as "Pisum sativum (pea) long non-coding RNA (PSAT_LNC014060)". The record is from RNAcentral. Lineage: Eukaryota; Viridiplantae; Streptophyta; Magnoliopsida; Fabales; Fabaceae.
AAAAAAUAAUGCAUCGCCCAAGCCCAGGCCCGACCUGAAAGACGGCAGGGCGCAUAUGAUGGUUAUGAGUGGAACUUAAUAAACAUUUACAAUUUCACACUUCACACACUAGUACAAACUAAUGCUUAUAUCAUACAAAGUUUCCUCAAACUAUACAAAGUUUCCUCAAACUUUUCAUUCAAUUUCCAACAACAACUGUUAGACUAACGACUAUUGUCUGCUCCAAUGUGUGGUGUGAGAGAAGCUAAUUCAACUAGAUGGAGAAUCAUGUUGAAG